This 152-nucleotide small nucleolar RNA is filed under the name Drosophila willistoni. RNAcentral describes it as "snoRNA:GK26533". The record is from RNAcentral. Lineage: Eukaryota; Metazoa; Arthropoda; Insecta; Diptera; Drosophilidae.
UCGGUCCACCUCAAUGCCAGGGAACCACAUCUGAGAUGUGCUGAGCAUCUUCUUUUACAGAAUAGACUUCAUUUUAAGACAGUUUAAUAUCCUAUUGCUUUACGAUAACAACAUUAUCCUCUUCUUGCUCUCUUGGAACUUAAAAUUACAAU